AACGCUAGCUACAGGCUUAACACAUGCAAGUCGAGGGGCAGCGCAGUGUAGCAAUACAUGGGCGGCGACCGGCGCACGGGUGCGUAACGCGUAUCCAACCUUCCCGUUACUCAGGGAUAGCCUUCCGAAAGGGAGAUUAAUACCUGAUGGUAUUCAAAUUUCGCAUGUUAUUUGAAUUAAAGAUUUAUCGGUAACGGAUGGGGAUGCGUGACAUUAGGUAGAUGGCGGGGUAACGGCCCACCAUGCCUACGAUGUCUAGGGGUUCUGAGAGGAAGGUCCCCCACACUGGAACUGAGACACGGUCCAGACUCCUACGGGAGGCAGCAGUGAGGAAUAUUGGUCAAUGGUCGGAAGACUGAACCAGCCAAGUAGCGUGAAGGAUGAAGGUUCUAUGGAUUGUAAACUUCUUUUAUACGGGAAUAAAACCACCUACGUGUAGGUGCUUGUAUGUACCGUAUGAAUAAGCAUCGGCUAACUCCGUGCCAGCAGCCGCGGUAAUACGGAGGAUGCGAGCGUUAUCCGGAUUUAUUGGGUUUAAAGGGAGCGUAGACGGGAUGUUAAGUCAGUUGUGAAAGGCUGCGGCUCAACCGCAGCACUGCAGUUGAUACUGGCGUCCUUGAGUGCGGUUGAGGUAUGUGGAAUUCGUGGUGUAGCGGUGAAAUGCUUAGAUAUCACGAAGAACUCCGAUUG
This 690-nucleotide ribosomal RNA is filed under the name uncultured Bacteroidales bacterium. Its description in RNAcentral is "bacterial SSU rRNA". It matches the Rfam family "Bacterial small subunit ribosomal RNA", at positions 32 to 715 of the family's 1533-position model. Lineage: Bacteria; Pseudomonadati; Bacteroidota; Bacteroidia; Bacteroidales. The record is from RNAcentral.